GGGGUUGGAGAUGAUUAGGUCUUUUUGUGGAAGAUUGAACGAGCAGAUUGGGGCGUAGAACUCCAAGGUGCAUUUAUUGUUCAGAUAUGAAUGGGUUUUUCUCAAACUGAGUAGCUAUGCUAGCAAUGUGAAUCUCUUCUUCUCCAGGACCCAACCACCCAAUCAAGCAGAUAGGAUUACUGAUCAUUUUACUGGUCAUUCCAUGUCGAGAUUUAUGAAGUUGCGAAUGGACUGAAGAACCUCUGAUAAGUUAUUGUUUGUGACCUCUCAGUGGUUGUUCCUGUUCAUUCUAGUUACUAUAGGAUUCUAUUUCUUUUGGACAACAUUUUUUUUUUUCUCAAUCUCUUAUGAAGUUAUGGCCUUUGGUAGAGAGGAAUGGUGGAACAGGAUUCAUGUAUCUGACCCCAAUUAAUUGGGAUAAGGCUUCAAUGAUGAUGAUGAUGAUUAUAAUAUUUUGGUAGAGAGCUGACCAUGAAUGUACACUUCUUACUGUUUUUUUUUUUUUUUUCCCUUCUUCUUCUGAUCAAUAUUUUCAUGUAUGCAGAGAACUCAGGAAUCAGGCCUCCUACUUUGAAUGUCUUCCCAUUUGUAAGUUUUGCACUUUGUCUUCGUCCAUUGGAUGGAAAGCUCUGGUCUAGCACACUUGGGUUUAUUUAUUGUAUCCAAGUGGUUUUCUACUUGUGGCAUUACAUGGGUUUAGUGCCACAAGUAGGAUUCUGCUUCCUUUAUGGUAUUUGGAUAAAAUUCUCUUUUCCUAUCCAAUGUUUCUUUAUGGUUUGGAAGCAGUACGUUCUUAAUGUAUUUUUUAAUUGCUUCAGGUGGAGUUGAAAUUCUCUAUAUAUACACUCCUGUAUGAUAUGAAUGGAUUGUUUAUUCAACCGAACAUGCCAGCUAUUUGAUUUAACAAACGCACGAGGGCUGCCUGAUGAGUAGACCUGCCUAAUUUGUAUUCAUGGUGAUCUUCCUGGGAGGGCCCACCUUAUGCAAGGUAGAGAUCUCACAAAAAUGUGCUAGGUUGGCACAUUUUACAGUGUGUGUUACGCUAACCUACAACCAGUUAAAGGUGAGAAUUCCUCUUCUAUUUUUCAAGGGGAAAAUGGUUUUUAAACGGGUUGAAUUCUAAGUUAAUAUUUUUAUAUCGUUGGCUAUGACAUAUCCCCUAUUAUUAAGUUAAUAUUAUCUAUGUUUGAAGAGGUUACAGAUUAAGUAUGUUAAAUUACUGGCUAUAUGUUAAUCACUGUGAAUUUUUUGCAAGUAAUCAAUGAAGAGAGCAGUUAAGUAGAUGGGUGUUUCAUGUUUGGGCCAUUGGGCCACGUGGAUUAUUGGAUCCAGUCUAUUGGAUUAGGACCAACCAUGGAUGGUGGAAGUCAUUAAAUCCUAAUUUACUAAAGAUCAUAUCUUCUCAAGACAAUGCCUUGUUUUUCCAACUGUUACUGUGUCUAUAAGCACUGAGUUUUUUUUUUUUUUUUCAAUCAGUUUUUACCUACCCACUGGAGAAGGCAGUGUCUCGGGAACAGAGGACUCAAAUAUAGCGCUGUAAUGAUGGCUAAGUAAGCGCCGAUCGUAUAUAAAAAAAAAAAGGAUGGUCAAGUAAGCGGUUCUCAUCGCUUCCCAAGAAAGCUCUGUGGAUAGAUGUUGAUUCUUCUGAAAUGGCAGAACUUAUCUUUGUUUUGUGAUGAUGGAUUGCUGUAAUGUAUAUGCUGUUUGAUUUAUCUCUAAUCAAUUCAAAUCAAAAUAUAGUGCAGGUGUUUGCCGAUAUAUCACUCUGCUUCAUGCUUGUGUCACUUGGUAUAUAAGUUCUUGUAAGUACCUAGUCAGCAAAGGAAUUCAUUCCUUUAAAAAAUAAAAAUAAAAAGGUGAUACUCCGAGGAUUUUCAUGGAAAUGUUUUAGGUGAUCUUGUUGUAUUGGGCACCUUAUCUCCAGAAUCCCAACAUAUUGUAUUCUCUUCACACAAACACCCAUAAAAAAUCAUAUAAGGUUCUAGUGCAGAUCCUAUUUUCUUCUUAACCUUGAAUGUACAGCAGUAAUGGAUAUAUCUGUAUUUUGGGGCACAUCAAAACAAUACCUGAAUUAAGCAGCACUAAUACCAGAGGUAUAAUGGGGACCUGUUGAAGCUUUUUUGAAUCAUUACAAGGUUCUAGUGCCCAGAACAAUGACAAGUUUGUUUAUUUUGGCAUUUGCUAACCCCAAACAAGUGUAUAAAUUCAGCCCCUCUGCACAACAGCAUGGAACGUGUGUGUGAUCCAGGCUGUCUAUCAGGUGGCCCCAUGACUUAAUUUUCAUGGCCCAAACAUCAGGUGCUCCACUUCCAAGAGGUCAGGUGCUUGCUAAAAAGGUGGUUGAACCCAUUGGUGAUCACAUAGAGGAUAAACCACAGUGUUUUGUGAAGGUGUGGGUUAGUAGUUUCAAUGAUGGGUGGAUCGUCUCCGCAUUUCCUAGUUGGGACCGGAAUGGAUUGCGCCUCGGUCACUUUUACAUCACACAUAGUGGACGUGUGAUCAUGGCCAGUGAGGUUGGUGUUGUAGACAUCUGCUAGAAGAUGUGGCCAGGAAAGGAAGACUUAAACCCUGGAAUGAUCAUACUGGUAGAUUUUGAGAAUCGUAUUGUUGUUGAUGAUGAGGCCUUGAAGCAGCAGUACUCUCUAGACAGAAAAUAGAACUUGAGGAUAUCAUAAAUUCUGUUCCUGAAGCUGAUAGAGUCCCACCUACCAUAUCUGGAACAGUGCCUGUAUAUUGACAUGAUGAUAAUAACAUGGAAAACAUGGGAAUUCAUGGAUUGUUGGCUCCAUUGAAGGCUUUUGGAUACACUGUAGAAGACCUGGAGAUGCUGUUGUUGCCCAUGGCAAAAGAUGGUACUGAGGCUCUUGGCUCAAUGGGAAAUGAUGCUCCUUUGGCUGUGAUGUCCAACAGAGAGAAACUUACAUUUGAGUAUUUCAAGCAGAUGUUUGCUCAGGUUACAAACCCACCGAUUGAUCCGAUCCAAGAGAAAAUAGUCACGUGGAAGGGGACCUGACUGAAACAGUUCAUGUGGAAGGCUAUGCGGUAGUUUGUUUGUUUUGAAAACUUAAAAUAGACCAUUAAUUGUUUUGUUGGUAUUGUGCUGAUUGUUGUCUUGAUGGAUGUUAAAUGGGUGAAACAUGCACAGGUUCAAUCAUUGGUUGAUUAUAAUAUUAUUAGCUUUUGUUGAUAGAAACUA
Molecule: long non-coding RNA, 3196 nt
Organism: Magnolia sinica
Lineage: Eukaryota; Viridiplantae; Streptophyta; Magnoliopsida; Magnoliales; Magnoliaceae
Exons: 5
Source: RefSeq, a predicted model, not a curated record